This 253-nucleotide ribosomal RNA is filed under the name uncultured bacterium. RNAcentral describes it as "partial 16S ribosomal RNA". It matches the Rfam family "Bacterial small subunit ribosomal RNA", at positions 524 to 776 of the family's 1533-position model. The record is from RNAcentral.
UACGUAUGGCGCAAGCGUUGUCCGGAAUUAUUGGGCGUAAAGGGCUCGUAGGCGGUUUGUCGCGUCGGGAGUGAAAUCCACUGGCUUAACUGGUGGCUUGCUUUCGAUACGGGCAGACUGGAGGUAUGCAGGGGAGAACGGAAUUCCUGGUGUAGCGGUGAAAUGCGCAGAUAUCAGGAGGAACACCGGUGGCGAAGGCGGUUCUCUGGGCAUGUCCUGACGCUGAGGAGCGAAAGUGUGGGGAGCGAACAGG